CACGUAGUUAGCCGGGGCUUCUUACUCAGGUACCGUCAUUUUCUUCCCUGCUGAUAGAGCUUUACAUCACGAAUGACUUCUUCACUCACGCGGCGUUGCUGCAUCAGGGUUUCCCCCAUUGUGCAAUAUUCCCCACUGCUGCCUCCCGUAGGGGUUUGGGCCGUGUCUCAGUCCCAAUGUGGCCGUUCACCCUCUCAGGCCGGCUACUGAUCGUCGCCUUGGUGGGCUUCUACCCCCGCAACCAGCUAAUCAGACGCGGAUCCAUCUUACACCACCGGAGUUUUUCACACUGAGCCAUGCGGCUCUGUGCGCUUAUGCGGUAUUAGCACCUAUUUCUAAGUGUUAUCCCCCAGUGUAAGGCAGGUUAUCCACGCGUUACUCACCCGUCCGCCACUAAGUUACGAAUCACUAGGUUUCAUCGUAACUCCGUUCGACUUGCAUGUGUUAGGCACGCCGCCAGCGUUCAUCCUGAGCCAGGAUCAAACUCU
RNAcentral lists this ribosomal RNA (488 nucleotides) under uncultured Eubacteriales bacterium. RNAcentral's name for it is "uncultured Clostridiales bacterium partial 16S ribosomal RNA". The record is from RNAcentral. Lineage: Bacteria; Bacillati; Bacillota; Clostridia; Eubacteriales.